CCCCCCCCCCCCCUAAAUCCGCCUCUGAUGAUUGUAUUUGAUUAGUUAACAAAUUCUUCACUGAAACUUCUAGCCAGAAUUUGUUAAUAACAGAAUCGUUUUGAAAUCUGCCAUGUCUCAUUGAAUUUUUUUAAAAGUCAUCAAAUAUACUAGGUUUAUAUUUUGAACGCCAGACGUGCCUUUUUUUUUUACAUAUGAAUCAUUAUUGGCACUUGAAUAAAAAAAAUCAAAUGCGAAGCAUACAUCAACAGUUGCAACGAUCUCAAUAGUUUUGGUUCGAAUACACUAGUGCAACACGUCAACACGAACAGUUGGUUCACGUACCAUAGAGUAACGCAUUACAAUAAGUUCAAUUAUCAUUCAGUUAAAAUAAUCUAUAUUCCUUACAUUUGUAAUUAGGUCGUCUGAUCUUAGGAUUGAAAUAUCUAUGGUAUGCUGGUUCGUGACACUGACCAAAUUUUCAUGUUUAUUAUUCAUAUAGGUUCGAUAGUAUAAAUGCGAAUAUGACAGACAUAUUGUGUCUCGUCGAUCUCAUUAUAAUGUUAAGUGAUUCAAGCUAUUUAUAAGUUUUUCUUUAUCUUCUUCAGUAUUAAUAUUAUGUGUAUUUUACCGUAUCGUAUAUAAAAUACAUAAAUAUGCAAAUACAAGGGAACGUACGUAGGAGGAUUUCAAAUUAGACAACUAUCCAAUGAAUGGCGAAUUGAAACAAUGUGAACAAUAUCAUGUACAAUAACAUAACCAGACAGGGCCUUCAAAAAGAACAAAACCGAUACCAAAAACUAGGUGAUGAGUCUCUUGAUAUGAAAAUGCAAAAGAAAAAUAAAAGGUUAUUUAAUGGAAUGGCACUUUAUUCCAUUAUAUUCUUUCCAUUGAACAACCUAAUUAGCACACAUUGAUGACUAGAGCAAUCUUUAAAUUGAUCUAUUGAAAAUGAUUUCAUGUGUAAUUUCUACUUACUAACAGGUAUUUGAAAAUGUCCGGGUAAUUUUA
Molecule: long non-coding RNA, 990 nt
Filed under: Mytilus galloprovincialis (Mediterranean mussel)
Lineage: Eukaryota; Metazoa; Mollusca; Bivalvia; Mytilida; Mytilidae
Source: RNAcentral